RNAcentral lists this ribosomal RNA (458 nucleotides) under uncultured bacterium. RNAcentral's name for it is "bacterial SSU rRNA". It matches the Rfam family "Bacterial small subunit ribosomal RNA", at positions 8 to 462 of the family's 1533-position model. The record is from RNAcentral.
AGAGUUUGAUCAUGGCUCAGAUUGAACGCUGGCGGCAGGCCUAACACAUGCAAGUCGAGCGGUAACAUUUCCAGCUUGCUGGAAGAUGACGAGCGGCGGACGGGUGCGUAACACGUAGGAAUCUGCCCGGUAGUGGGGGAUAGCCCGGAGAAAUCCGGAUUAAUACCGCAUACGCCCUAAGGGGGAAAGCAGGGGCUUCUUCGGAACCUUGCGCUACUGGAUGAGCCUGCGUCGGAUUAGCUUGUUGGUGGGGUAAAGGCCUACCAAGGCGACGAUCCGUAGCUGAUCUGAGAGGAUGGUCAGCCACACUGGGACUGAGACACGGCCCAGACUCCUACGGGAGGCAGCAGUGGGGAAUAUUGCACAAUGGGCGAAAGCCUGAUGCAGCCAUGCCGCGUGUGUGAAGAAGGCUCUAGGGUUGUAAAGCACUUUCAGCGAGGAGGAAAGGUUGUACGUUA